ACUGAUCGAUGGGCCAGAUAUGCCCAUAUAUAUAUGAAACUAAUGAAAUGGGUAGUAGCCUGAUUUGAAGAGAAAAAAUUGUGGUACAUGCGUGCGUGCCUAUGUAGCCGGCUGAGACGUCGCCUGUGAUGUCCAGUUGCAAGUGUGUCCGUCCAUCCUUCUAUAUCAAUAUCAAUAAAUGUUAUAUACAACUGCUUAUUUAGGGUAAUGUUAUACAUUUGUGGUUGUGCAUUAGACAUAUAAAUUUGAUAUGCGCCCCAUUACUGGGCUCCGCAGCUUUGCCGAGUGCCCAGAGAACUCUACAAAUGCAGGAAACAACUCGACAAUAUUUUGCCGAGUUCUGCACCGGGCGAACAAGACUCGGCCACGAACAUGUUGGUAAUGAGCUACUUUUCCGAGUGCUUAUCAUCAGAAAACUCAGCAAAGAGUCACUCUUUGCCGAGUUUCGCCAUGUGUCAACUUGGCAAACUUCCACCAUAGACGGAGGGGGAGUGGCCCAUUAACGGCCGCACCACGCCACACUAACUUUCCUGCGUGCUCCCGGCUCGUACUCAACAUUGUGUCCGGCUGGUUUGUAGAGUUUUCCUAGAAGCCUUGUAAGGAAACUAGUCAAAUAUGGGUCAAAACCAUGCAGAGUGGCGAACUCGGUAAAUGCCUUUCAAGCACACAAACAGUGUCCUCCUCACUACCGAGUUUCUUCCUAAGGAUUUCUCCAGAAGCUAGCAGGCGUUGACAAUUGGUAUGCUAGAGUGCAACACUCUGUAAAUGGUCAAUCAUGUUUUGUUUUCAAUUUAUUUUUCGGACCAUCCCUCCAUAGAAAUCACUAUAUAUGUGCAUAAUUUGGGCAAUGAAAGGAUCUUACAAGUGAUGGGUUAUUCUAUUUUUCGGAAAAUCAGUGGGCGCAUGGUGAUGGUAGCUUGGAUCGUUACCAUGAUCGUUACCAUGAUAGUUACCAAUUUCUUGUCAUCUGGAGAAGUAGAAGUAAGAUUAGGCCGAUGUACAAUCCUUGGAAACUCAUUCAACUAAAAAUUACAAAUUCUCAUAAAAUACACAUACUUCUCUAACAUAUCAUCAUCAAAUAUCUAAACGAACCGAAUUGUAUUAUCAACAUAAAAAACCAGGCAAGCAAUGCAAAAUCAUUACUCGUUACCAACAAUAAGUGGCUUGCCUGUCAUUUCUUUCCUCUUCCUCUUCAAUCCAAUGCAGGACUCGGUAUGUAAUUUGUUGUAGUACUCAAAAGUUUAGAAAUUUUGCUGAUAAUCGCACCAUGGUAAUGGAAAAUUAAAGCAAACCAUCCACCAUGAAUUUAGAACUAUGGCUUGCCUCCUCGUAGAGCAUUUCUAUGACAUUCUUAGAUCAUACUAGAGCAUCCCUGGUUUUUUGAUAAAAGGGUGAAUUUUAUUAACUUAUAAUGUCACACCAAAUCGUUUAUCCACUUUCUCAGCCAAUUUGUGUUUCUGACAAUUGGUCGGCCCAAUUAAGGAGAGAAUUCCUAGAUCUGCCGGCGUGGCGUGUUUAGACAUCGCACAGGGGAGCUUCUAUAUGACGCAUUUUGCGACAAAUAGGGACCGAAACAUAAGUUAGACCAAGACAAGGCCGGGUCACUUAGCACGACUAUAGCAACCAUCACACUGUAACAUCCGGUGCGCUUUCGCGGCAUACACUGUAGCGACCCGGUCACCGUAGAAACUGGUUAUUUUAGGUGGUUUUAUGAAUUUCAGUUUUUUAAAGAUGAACAUUUCGUAAAAGGCGAACAAUGUUUUAAAACAUUAAAUAAUUUUUUAAUUGGGAUGUUUUAUUAAAAAUGCAAACAUUUUCUAAAAUUCAAGAAAGUUUUGUAAAAUACCGGAGCAUUUUCUAAAAUGCUAACAUUUUUAAUAUUUUAAAAUUAUCAAGAAAAAUAUUUUAAAACAUUAAUUUCUUUUGAGAAUCUCAAAACAAUUAUUAAAAAAAGUUUCGAACAUUUGAAAUUCUUAAGGCUUUUUUGAAAAUUCCCGAAUUUUUUAAGAAGGAAUUAUUUUUCAAAUAAAGUAAAAUAAAUAAAUAUAUAACCAAAGAAACAGCAGGAAGGACCAACAAGAAAGAAAAUACAAAAAUAUUCUUGCCGCUGCUCGUAGAUCCGCCCUGCUUUUCUUUUGACAGGGCAAUCCAUUGCGCCUUUGUCAGCAUCAGGUGCUCACUCGCCUCCGCAUCGCCGAAGCUGAGACGAAUUAUCUCGUCGUGAGCCUUGAACCUUCCGACGAGAUCCUCAACCGUGAGAGUUUUCAGGUCGAGACAUUGCUCGAUCAAUGUGAAAAUCUGGAUGUAGCGUGCUGGCACGGCGCGCAAAAAUCGUCGGACGAUCGCAACUUCUUCUAGGGUUGAACUAUAGCUACGUAUGCCGUUGACGAGGGUCUUGAGACGGACGGCAAACUGAUCAACCGUCUCACUGUCAUCCAUCUUUAGGCACUCGUAGCUUCUCAUCAGGCACUAAAGGUGUGCUUUCUUGACACGGUCAUGACCCUGGUGCAGGAUGUUGAUGGUCUCCCAUGCCUCCUUCGCCGAGUUCUUUCCGACAAGGUGUUGCGGCACAUCCUUCGGCAUGGCGGAGUAGAUCGCCGUUAACGCCUGACGAUCCUUCCGGUACUUUGUCGCGCCCUUCGCGUACUCGGCGCCGCCGGGGUCGACGGCUUCCCAGUACUUAGCUCCCUCCAUCGCGACCUCCAUGUUGAUCGCCCAUAGUGCGUAGUCCUCUCGAUCCAGAGGGGGGAAUUGUGAUCCCCCCACCAUUGGCAUUGGUGCUCCCGCUGCCACCGUCACGAUCUCCUUGCUUGUGUUCGACAUGAUCCUUCGGCUGUUUUUUGAGAAUCACGCCAAUACACCAAAGCUCUGAUAUCAAUUGUUGGCACAUGCCCGGCCUCGACGCUGCGAUCCGCCGUGUACUUUCCGGUGAGACGCACGUACAAGACUAGCUCGAAUACUUUCCGAGCUAACCAGUUGGAGAUGUAGACGUAGACGAUGGUCAGGUGUACGUAUACACCAAAGCAACCAAGCUGCCUAGCUGCUGGAUCGAUUUUCCAUUCAAGCCUAUACACUCACGUAUGAGACUACAAGCCGCCGGCUUGCCUGAUCGAUACGAGCUAGUUUCAUCAAUACACAAACGGGUACACGGGACGCCGAUGGAUCGCAACAGGAGCGUGUCGCUCCUGGGAUUUUAUUUCUUUCGUUCUGGGUUUGGUACAAGUUGAGUUAUAAACGGUACUACUUACAGAUAUAUAUAGUACUACUAAUUAACCUAUACAUAUCCAACUCGGGCACAAUUCCAAGCCCGUACGGGACUGGAUGUCCUAAUCGUGAUUAUUUCCAACAGUAACGACGUAAAAAAUCAUCGCCAUUGCCAGGAAUAACCACUCGGGUCUGUCCUAGGCUUUCGUCCCGGAGCUCGAGACUGGGUGCACAGUAGAGCACCACCAUCCAAAUCUCACAUGUGUUGUCUCCACCGCUUUUCCCUUAUCCGAGCAGCUACAAUUGGAUCGCCGCUACUCCACAAACAACCCUCUGCGUCAAGUCUUUGUUCAUAAUUUGUAACCCACCAAUGAAGUCAUCCACCGGAUCAGGAGAUAAAACCUCCCGAAAUCUUUUUGAUGAUGUCGUGGAUCCGUAUGAAGUUGUUGCAGAACAAUCUACAUACGCCACCAUCCGGCCAAUUGGAUGUAAAUCACCUCAUCCAUCCGGCACAUCAUCGCAGCCCCAGCAAUCCACAGACCGUGUGGCCGGAGCAAUGCCAAGACUACCGUUGCCUCAACGACCGCCACGCCGGAGCCACCACCAUAGAUCGAGGGAGAUGGGCGCUACCAGAAACAAGGGCCGCCAUGCAUAGGCAAAUUUGCGAUGGCCGCAGUUAGGUUGGAUCUUGGAAGACUCCAUCCGAAACCAGCCGCCGCAGACCACGAUGCCAUCUUGGAGAGGAGGUCAGGGGCGCGCGCAGCAAGCUAGGGAAUCGAUCUGCCCCGUCGCCACCAUCCGCCAUCGCAGGACCUUGCCGCCGCCGCACCCAGCGCCGCCCACACGGCCACCUCGGCAGCACCACCACCAGCACCUGGGGACGCCGCCCCGGCUCCCAAGCAUAUCAUGUUGCGCCUGCAGGUGGAAGGCCGUGGCGUAAAACUCCGGCUCCCAUAGCGAACGGGUUGGGAGGUAGUCGCGCCUGCAUUCGAAAUUAUCCCUGCAUAGGCAACAACGGGUCACCGCGGCCGCCGAUUCCUUCUACUCCUCCUGGUCCUGGCAGCCGGACGUAAUACAGCUUUGCUAAUUCCUGCUUCUGCGUUGCGCAGCAGGCCAGCCGCAGACAAUUCACCGUUUACUACCCAUGUUAGCCUUAUCUGAACAGACAACACUAUAUUCAGAAUAGUACAUAAGAACAUUCAUUCGCAAUAAAUUUUAGAAUUUCCAAAUAUUUUGUUGAGUUUCAAGUGAAUGUUUCGAACUGAGUAGUGAAAUAGAGUGAUUUCGGCUCUGGGUGAAAUCUUUCUAGAACUGAAAUUGUUAAUGUUAAUGAUCGGAAGUGCAUAUGCUCAGGAUAUGGAGCAUGGACCACAAAUAAUGUGUUUAUGCACGUUGCUUCAGCAUUUUUUUAUAUAAUGAAUAAGAAUGUAAAAAGAUAAUAAAAUUCCGGAAUCAUUAAUGAAGUUUGUUCAACUGACCAUAAAAAAUGUAUUCCUACAUAAAAAUGUGUUGGAGCAUAAUGUCUCAUCCAUCCGACCCAAUUUGUGAAGAAAAAUGAAAAGGAGAAAGGAAUGUCUCUGCAUGUCGGUAAUCCCCAUCCCUCCUCCCCACCAACCACGUACACACACACACGGCACACGACACUUGUUUGAAAUACGAAGUGCAGGGUCAAUCAUCCGAGGAAGAACAAUCACAUCUCAAAAUCGAUAUUUGUUGAUGAGGUUCAACAUGAAUGACGGGGCUACGCCCGCAGGGUGGCUCACCAAGACGGACCAGACAGGAGGCCUGGCAAGAGCCUAUAAGGGCCAGGCAACGGGAUGAAUGACUUAUGAGCAUCUUUCCCUCCAAGUCAUGAAGACCGGCAGCCUAGAUCACAUCUCCUCCAUGUAAACCCUAACCUUCACCGCCUAUAUAAGGGGAGCUUAGUACACAGUAUUGUGCUUCCUCGUACAAGGUAUCCCACCGCCAUCAAUAACAAGAAGAAGCAAAAUGUAGGGGUAUUACUCUCCGGAGGCAUGAACCUGGGUAACUUGUGCAUGCAGGCUCCGUUGCCGUACUUUUGAUCUCGUCAGGAACCCUAACGAAGGAUCUGGCGGUUUUCUGCAGUGUCAGUUGGCGCGCCAGGCACGAGCGACGUUGGUCGGAGACCUAAUUCGGGGCAGAGAUCCAGAUGAGCUCGGCAAAUUCAUGUCGGUCCAAACCUUUACCUUCAGCUCUUUCGAGGUGGCGGUCGACGGCUCAGGGCGGCACUUCGACAUCACACCCCCACUUUUCAUUGACUAUAUGUGUUUUGGGACAAUCGAGUUCAUCUCAACGAACAAGGGGAAAACGUGGCGGGCUACCUCGGGUUGAACUGUAUCGUAAAGAGAUAUGCAUGAGCUACCACCCACUCAGAGAUAGCUAGGUCUUCUUCAACCUACCGGGCCCUCCCAGACGUCCACUAUAAAUAGGAUCUUCUGAGGAAUAGAGACGCGCCGGAACCAAAAGCUCACGUGAUCUACGCUGCGGAGCCAGUGCCCAACGAAACCGGACAAUUUGCAUCCCCAACUACCGAAACCGGACAAGGUUCAUCCCUGGUCCCGAUUUUGGCCGGUUUUGGUGCUAGCUCACCCGGAUUAUGACCGGUGCUGACUCAAAUUCGCGUAAUUUUUUCAUAUCCAUGAACUUUUUAAAAUUCACAUACUCUUUUCAAAUCCAUGUAGUUAUUUCGAGGUCGCGUAAUUUUUUAAAAAGUAAACAUACUUUCUUCAAAUAUGUGAACUAUUUUAAUAUUUGCGCACAUUUUUCAAAUCUGUGAUCUUUUAAAUUUGCAUAAUUUUUUCGAAUCUGCGUAUUUUUUCCAUGUUCGUUUAAUUUUACCAAAUCUGAGUAUUUUUUUUCAAAUCAAUAAACUAUUUUGAAAUUCGCGUCCUUGUUUCAAAUCCGCAUACUUUUUAAAGUUCACGUACCUUUACCAAAUCCAUGUUCCUUUUUCAAUCCAUGAACUUUGUUUUAAAUUCACGUACUUGUGUCAAGUUGAGAUAAUUUUAUCAAUUAAAAAUAUUUUUUCUAAUUUGCGUAAAAAAAAUCCAAAUCAGCGUACAUUUUUCAAGCCCACAUAAAAUUUUGAAAUUCAUGAACCCUUUCCAAAAAAAUAUACGUGGCUAUGAAAAUUACAUGAAUUUCUAAAAAGUACAUGGAUUUAAAAAAAGUACGUGAACUCGGAAAAAGUACGCCAAUUUGAAAAAAGUACACUAAUUUUUAAAAUGUCCGCGUCUAUGAUAAAAAUACCCGAAUUUGAAGACAUUAAACAGACUUUGAAAAAGUAUGUGAAUUCAAGUCAGCAUACUUUUUCAAAACCGGUCAAAACCGUGGCCAGGGAUGAAUCUUGCCCGGUUUCAGUAGUUCAGGGUGUAAAUUGUCCAGUUUUAGAGUUAAGGGACCAAAUCUAGACUUCACCAAAAAUUAAGGGUCAGAAAGUAUAUUUUUCUUUAAAUAAUAUUGCCAUGCCGGCCGAUUUGUGUACAUGCAGAUGCUGCAAACGGACACCAUCAGGGGCAGUGGCGGAUCCAGGACCCAGGCCGGGGGGGGCCUGGGCCCUGGGCGUGAGGAUGAAUCACUUCGUUGCAUGUAGCAUAUUUGUGCACUGUAGCAGCACUGUAUCCGUACUGUAGCAGCAUGGGCCCUGGGUUUGGCCCAAUCCUGGGUCCGCCCCUGAUCAGGGGAAUGGUCCUCCGCCGCCCAAGGGCGCAGGCUGGCCGCACCAGCAGACGAAUGGCCUAAGCUGUGGCGACCUCGUGGCUCCUCCGUCACUGAUGCCUCCCGUUGCAUCCAUGCAAUAGCAGAGAAAAUUGAGAUAAAAUAGUACAUUGAUGGUUGAAUAUACAAGAUAAAUAAGCAUUUUAUCGUAUGAAAUUGUGAUGCAAAAUACAUGCAUUGGCCAUCAUUCUCACUAUCAUUGUAUUCUCAAUGUUCAUUGAUCCUUCCCUGUACUUCUAAUUCACAACCAUGGAGUACAUUUUCAUAUAUUCUUAUUUAAUAUUGCAUUGCACAUACCUAUUGUUUCUAUAGCAGAUAAUUAAAAAUUUAAUAGGAGUACCACAUAAAUAUAUUUAGAAGGCAAAUAGAGUAUAUAAUUAAUAUUGGUCUCUACGGGCGCGCCCUGCUAGUUUCCGCCCGUCAGCCCCGCACUAUAAAUAUGCCAAGGCCCAGCCCCAUCCGGCACAAGAGGCAGUAAUGACAUCCUCCUCUAUUGCCGUCGAGGCUACUCUGCUCCUCUUCAUCCUCGUCGCCCAUGCCCAUGGCUGCGGUGCCAGGAACCACGCGCCUCGUCCUUCCCCGGCCACCAAAAAGCCUCCCUACAUGGCCACUCCUCCUGCGGCCAAUUCCAGCUGGCUCGACGCCAAGGCGACAUGGUACGGCGCGCGCCACGGUGCUGGGCCCGACGACAAUGGUGGCGCGUGCGGGUUCAAGAACGUCAACUUGCCGCCCUUCUCUGCCAUGACCUCCUGCAGCAAUGAGCCGCUCUUCAAGGACGGCAAGGGCUGCGGCUCGUGCUACCAGGUAUGACCCCGACCGCCCUACUUUAUUACUACUCCCUCCAUUCCUUUAUAUAAGUCUUUGUAGAGAUUUCAUUAUGGAUCACAUAUGCUAUAUACAUCACUAUGUGGUCCAUAGUGAAAUAUGCGCUAUAUACAUCUAUAUGUGGUCCAUAGUGAAAUUUCUACAAAAGACUUUUAUUUAGGACCGGGGAGUACUACAAACUGCAUGCAUACCACUACAUUAUGGUCACAUGCAUGCAUGCAUGCAGAGAUAUUCUACAUACUUUUUUUUUCUUUGCGAAUGUGUAUGUUCAGCCUAACAUUGUAAUGGAUAAUGGACGGUGGUCGAUCACGUGCAACGUAAAUGCAGAUAAGAUGCUUAAGGUCAAACCACCCUGCGUGCUCCGGUGUUCCGGAGACGGUGAUCAUCACGGACAUGAACUACUAUCCGGUCUCUCCCUACCACUUCGACCUCAGCGGCACUGCCUUUGGAGCCAUGGCCAAGGGUGGCCGCAACGAUGAGCUCCGCAAUGCGGGAAUCAUUGACAUGCAGUUCCGGAGGUACCACACCCACCUACCUAUUAUGCGAGUCACAAUCAUGGGCGUCGUCUUAUCUUAUCAAGAUGAUAUUUUUUUUGUUUGGGAGAUGACACACACUGAUGGCGAGUGGUAUGGCUCUGCAGGGUGCCGUGCCAGUACCCGGGGUUGGCGGUGAUGUUCCACGUGGAGAAGGGGUCGAACCCAUUCUACAUGGCAAUCCUGGUGGAAUACGAGAACGGCGACGGCGAUGUGAAACUGCUAGAAAUCAUGGAGUCACGGCCGGAUGCUGGCAACAGCAGUGAGAUGGCUCCCACUGGGGAGUGGAUGCCCAUGAAGGAGUCGUGGGGUUCCAUCUGGAGGAUGGAUGCCCGGCACCGCAUGCAGGGGCCAUUCUCGUUGCGCAUCACUAACGAGUCUGGCAAGAUGCUCGUCGCCGACCAGGUCAUCUCUGGAAGCCUGAAAAAGUCUACAGCUCCGUCAUCCAGUUUGAUUAAUUGAUGGAUCAGCCAUUUAUGUGAUGUCAAUAUAUAUGAUGCAUUGACUUUAUAUGUAUUCUAUAUGAAAGCAAUGGAAAGAGGAGUAGGGUUAUGUAAUGACCUCAUGAGACGGGCUUUAAAAUUAUGGGAAGAUUCACAAAAAUAAGAAGCAUCAUAACAUUCAAAGGCUGGCUAGGUUGUACGAUUCCUUCUCUUUCAGUAGGUGCCGGCUGAAAGAACUGGUUUCGAAAAAAGAUCAGAAAUCUCGGCAUUUUACAGGCUGAAAAAUUCAAACAAAAUUUGACCUCACAAUAUAAUUCUCCUGCGCUAAUAUCUACUUAAAUAUUUUCAUGUUUUUGUGGUCAGUGCUGCACUUCACCUCCAGGGCAUCAUGGGGUCGAGUCCCUCUUUCUGCAGCUCAAUUUGUGCUUUUUUGUCAUCCUCAAUGGAGCAAAGAGCAGAGCCAAAAAGAAGAAUAGCAUAGACUGGAUUCGACCCCGCAAACUCACACAUGCUCAGAAUAGACAAGAAGCAGCACACCCCUCAGUGAUAUACAUUUACAUAAUCAUACGGAUUGUAUUUGACACUGUUGUACAAUUCAAAUUCAAAAUAUUCAUAAAAAUCAAAUGGUAGUACUUUUUUUCGGGAAGCAGUGGAAGAGCGGGCAACUGGCCGAUUUCCGUAAUUCUCGACCAGAAAAAAAUCCUUGCUCCACGGUAUGUUUUCCUUCAUCAGUUUAUUUAGACUACAACUUGAUUAGAAACUAUUGAGAGAGAGAGAGAGAGUGACAGAGAGAGAACGGGAGAGAGAGAGAGCCGGAAGACCUAGCAGGUUGCAGCCAACGUCGACCCUUCCGCAUGAAGCACCUCCGGUAGAUAUUCUGCAUGCGAUAUACCAUGUGGAGUAUAUCGUUAUGUAGUUACAUGUACGAUCAAUGGUUUGUGCCAAAGAUUUAAAAUAAAGGAUCAGCUACCGUACGUACGCACGCCCAUUGAGGUUGAUUUUAUGUGGAUCUUUGUUGUCCUGGCCGGACUGUGUUGCUGCGCGUGGCGCUUGUGCAUAAUAAGGAUCGAACCAACUCACGAAAACCUGAAGCUGCGACCGGCACAUGCAUCCUUUUCGGGAGCAAGUACAUGUUUUUUUUAACAAGGAGCUCAUGUGCAUUUUCAUUAAACAAUCUGAACAAAGUUUUCGUUGAACUAAACCUGAUGACUGGAUAUAAUGAGUUGGCGCAGGCCUAGUUAGAUAAUGGGCAUCAAGCCUGACAAGAUGUAAUGGACUGGCACGGGCAUGGCUCGGCACAAAAGAGGCCUGAAUAGGCCUGAACACACUACUUGGUGGCAGACGGCCGCCAUGAAGGAGGAGGCGCCCUCCACUGUGAUUGCCAGCGAACAUGGCUGCCACCAUCAUUACCAUGGUCGCGACGUGGGAACCAUCUCCUUGUGCACCAGGACGGCGACUGACAAGGCGGCAGUUGAGGAGGAGCUCAAUGAGACGCGUCGGGCGGCCUACGCGAUGUCGGAUGUGGUGCUGGAUUGGGCGUGCGCUGAGUCGUCGACACAGACCUCUUUUUGGCCUGGAUUGGACACUACGCAGAUGAACGCCCGCCGCCGGCACCAGAUCAGCAAGCAACUCCACAAACUGGGGCAAGACGAUUCCGGGUGUUUGGCCCAAUACCCCACCGGUAAGGGCAAGGGCAAGGGCGGGCGGCACGGGCUGAACUGCAUAUCCGGCACUCGUUGCCACCGGACACGAGCGAUCAUUUGUGUGAGGUAGAGUGGUUGCGUUCAUCGGUUAUUGAAAAGUAUUCAUGUAUCUUAAAAAGGGCUCUUCGAGAAUUAAAAAAUGUCCAUCAUAUUUUAUUUUAAUAUGUAUUUAAAAAAAUGCUCAUCAUGUAUUAAUAACUGUUUGUCAUAUAGUUUUUCAUUAAACUUAUAGACAAUGGUAUUUAAUGAAAUGCCCAGUGUCUACUUAAAAAUAUUCAUUGUGUAUUUAUUUAAAUUUUCAUUGAGUAUAAUGAAAAAAAUCAUCAUGUAUUUAAAGUAUUCAUGUAUAUUAAAAAAGUAUUCUUUGAGAAUUUAAAAAUGUUCAUCAUGUUUUUCGAAAAUGUUCAACUUGUAUUAAAAAAGUUCACGGCUAUGUCCAUAUUAUUUGAACACAUCCUCGGCCCCUGAAAUGAAAUCGGAUGGCGAUGACCCAAACAUCAAAUUUGUUCAUUUCGACCAAAUGGUGACUUUCGAUAUUGGACACGUUUUUAUUUGAGUCCAUCUUAAUUAUUUUUUUAUUCCAUGCCAAAAACUGGUGGCAACAGCUAGGUCACUACAUAGGGGCCUAUGCGCGGAAUAGGAUUCCCCAAACAUCAACGUUGUUCAUUUCGACCAUGCAGUGUUUGCUUUCUGGGCUCCGGUCCAUUGAUCUUUUUGUGUGCAACCCAACUAGGUGUAGGCUCAGAUGGUUCGAUUCAACCAGGUGGCCUCAACAGCGCUCGCUGGCUAGUUCGUGUUUUCUAUGCUUCACCAUCCAAAAAAUCAUAGAUAUAACAUCAGCAGAAAAAAAAGCAAGCUCCUAGCUUCGGAAAAAACCCGGCGCUGUUCUGGUCGACUAGGAAAAAAAUGUAAAUUCGAAAUAAUGUUCAUGAAUUUCGUAAAUAUACACCCAUUUGAAAAAAUAAUUGUGAAUUUUAAAAAUGUUCAUGGAUUUGAAAAAAAAAGUUUAAGAAUACUUUUAGAAUGCGCCAGGCUAUAGAAAAAUUUGGAUUCAAGAACUAUCCAAUACAAGGAAACUGUGCCAUGUUUAUCCUUUCUGGUAUAUUGAAAUAAACCAGAAAACCGGCAUGUAUUAGAGAUUUACAUAAAUGAAGUGUUGCUGCGGUGAACUCCGUGUGUGCUGAAAAAUCACCUACUUGACAAGAUAGGAUUGGAGGAAUCAAUUGUCCGUUAUACAUUCUCUGGUUUCAUGUUCGUCCAGAUAAUCCCUGCACCUUCGGUUGCAGCUUCGCGUGCAGUUAGCGAUAGUUUAGCGAAUUUCGCUCGCGUAGAGGAUAGAACAAUGAGUUGGAUAGGUUCUGGCCCUUCAUGCGCACUGGAACUACCUUCUGCUGAGUGUAACACAACUAUGGUUUGAGUAAUACAAAUUUUUCACCCGCAAAAAAAAAGAAGCUUCGCGUGUAGUUCCGUCGGGUUUGCAAUGUAAACUCACCGCCUGGUUAAUUUCUUUGAACAUUCUUACGCUGGUGAAAACGCACGUCUCAUUGACGUGCACAUGCCUGGUCUUCCUCACGGAGCAUGCGUGUUCUUACAUGCAAAACUGGCGAUGAUCAGUUACACACCUGUACCUACAAGAGGGCUAGCUAAAGACGAGCACAAGCUAUAUAUACACAUAGCAUGUUUGCACAUGCAGUCAGUCGUACAUGACUGAUACAGAAGUUAGACCAAGUAUGUUGAAGCCGGCGGCAUCAUCUUCCUCGUGUGCCAGAUGUUGGACGAACGCCAGACGGAGGUAGAAGAUGACGAACGCCCCGGCCGACGAACGGUCUGUAUGUUGGCAUUUAUUCAUCUCAACUCUCUCAAACACACAAACAUGAAGGUACACACGUACACACGCAGCACAAUCCUAGAAGAACUCUCAUAUCGACCGACAAAGACUACAUCUUAUUUAGACCCCUCCCACUGUGGCUUACUCCUAACAUGCACAAUCUCCAUAUCUUCACUAAACUCUGAUGUAAUGUGAUAGACUGAUGUAUUUCGUUCGUGUCUGCAGGUGGAAGGCCGGUGUCGGCCCCUCCUGCUCCCGUAGCGCAGGUGAGACCCCAUGGGAGAUGCCCUAGUUUCCCGGUCUGCAACAACAAUCCAUCGCUUUCGCUGCCUCUUGCUCCUACUCCUCCUAUACAGCCAGCGGCCAGAGGUAAUUAAUUUAGCUUUGUAAUCAGUUCCAGCUUACGCCUUGGGCGGCAGGCCGAUUGCAGAGAAUUCAUAUUUUAAUACAAGUCAAGUCAGGUUGCAAUACGACUUGAGAUUAUGGUACAGUACUUGUUUGUAAGGCAGAUUUGCAGACAUAUAUACUUUCAUCAAUAUUAUGAUCCUACACGAGGUUUUGAAUUCUAUUCAUAGUAAGAAACGAGAUGCUAUGCUUUUGAAACUGGACUUUGGCAAGGCAUAUGAUAAAAUUAAAUGUCCUUUUAUGCACAAAAUGUUAACUCUGAAGGGAAUCCCAUGUCAAUCAAAUGAUUGGAUAAUCAAAACUACGAGAGAAGGGCAUGUUGGUAUCGAAGUAAAUGAUGGUGUAGGACCAUAAUUCCUUACUCUGCAUGGUUUAAGACGAGGUAUUCUCUCCCCUUUGCUUUUUAAUCUUGCUGUCCAUGCUUUCGUUAUUAUUUUAAAUAAUGCCAAAAAGCAUGGGUAUGUCAAAUGAAUGAUGAGUGAAUAUAGUGAGGAGGUGUAAACAUGUUGUAAUAUGCAGAUGAUACGAUAUCCCUCCUUCCAGAUGAUAUAUAGGAAAACAAAGAUUGGGGUCUAGUGGGCGCGUCACAGGAUUCUCUCCGCAAGUCUCAGGUGUCUACCGUUGAUUGGUCUCCAAAAGGUUCGAGUAGGGUUGACCCAGCUUCGCCUUCGUCCCAACCUAGAGAGCAUAUCUUGUGCACCUAGAGUAUUUGUGCUACAAGUGCAUCUAACAUCAAAGGCUUGUACUAUGAGUUCUAAAACAUUCUGAAAAUAAUUAAGUUGAAGAAAUAGCAUACAUCUAACAUGUUACAAAAUUUCAGUCAUAAAUUCAACUCGCAUAAAGAGAAACAAAAAUAACAAAUCAUGCUCUAGUAGUGCAAGCGGAACAAAUUCCCGGCCCUGUAUAAAUUAACAAAAUUCAGUUUAAAUUCAACUCACAUGUUAAUGAAUGUUGUUAAUUUAAGCUCGGCCAUUUCAUCGACAUAUUCUCUGCACCUUCGGUUGCAGCUUCGUGUACUUCGGCCGGUUUGCAAAGCAAACUCACCACCUGGUUAAUUUCCUCUAACAGUCAUACAUGGGUGGGUGCGUCACUUGAUAUUAUGGUACAAUACUUGUUUCUAUGGAGUAUUUGCCGACAUAUAUACUUUCAUCAAUAUAAUGAUCCUACACGAGGUUUUGAAUUUUGUUCAUGCUAAGAAACAAAAUGCUAUGCUUUUCAAAGUGGACUUUGGGAGGGCAUAUGAUAAAAUUAAGUGGCAUUUUUAUGCACACAAUGUGUUUUUCCGAGAGUACGCAAAAUGCGUACCAUAGCUUUAUAGAAGAGAGAAUUUCAAAUACAAGGCAACUACAACUCGCUGCGAACAACAGAAGUUGCAAUAGCUCCACUCCACCCACAGCAAAACAACUACAACGCAAAAGCGCCUGCCCAAAACCGAAAAACCUAGUCGCGUCUCGACUGAUGCCGGUCACCAUCGAAGAAACAACAACUCUCACCGAGCUUCCCUUGUCGACGCACCAUCCACUCUUUAUGCCUAAAGGAGGUGGCAACUGAAUGACGGGACUCGAUCAGACCCGAAAAAGGCACCGUCUUGGAAUCACUAGCGAUGGUCGUACAUUGCGCCGCGGCAGAUUAAUCAUGAACAGCAGCGAACACCGGAGGAGCGCACCGAAGGACGUCCAAACCGUGUCUCCAGGCACGAUGCUCCCAACAGAGAAACGACGUCGGGGCGCCAUCAUCGUGCUGAUCCUGCAAAUCAAGGCUUUCGCCCGGAGACAACUUCCAAUGCCAAGCGAGGUAGGGAGAUGGCUGCACGCCUCGGCGACGCCUCCAAGAAGGGAAAAGACACCAGCGGGUGCCCUCGCCGCCGGCCCGGCAAACACCGGGCAAGACUUUCGUUUGUAUCGCCGCACAUCUCCACACCUCCAAGGAUUGGGGCAGCAACGUCCUUGUAGCCUCACACCGCCGCCACCGCAGCACCCCGCCUCCGCACAACCAUGGUCCACCAAGAACACACACAACAACGAGAAACCCGACCCAAAUCUCCACCACCAUCCCCGGCCUGCAACCUCCCAUCACCAUGGGGAAGGACUCGGCACGCCACGAUGGUUGUCACCCACUCCAGGGGACAUCCACACAACGCCCCCCUCCCGCAGGCUCGGCUCGAACCUGAGCAGGUCACAGAUCUGACCCGCGCCUCCGCACUCCCCUUCAACGGCAGCACCCCGAACGCAGAGGAAGACGACCGCCCGCUGCUCACCAGGAGCUCCUUCCUGGUAGAGCCUCCACAGCGCCGCCGCCUGUACGGUCAGGAACUCACGCCGCUGCCUCCAGGUCGCGCCUCCACGCCGCCCAGCUCCACCGCUGCUACUGCCUCACCACCAGAGCUCGCCGCUCCACCACAAGCCACGCCGUGCGCCGGCGCAGCCCGCCGCUGCCUCGCGCCACUGGCCAUCCAGCACCAUCCCCUCCCCUAGGACGGCCCACCUCCUCGCGAAGGGAGCCAGUCAGGGAGGGUCUCCACCACCCGCCGCCUUCGACGUCAGGCGUGGCCGCAACUGCCGGCGCCGGCGGCGGAAGCGGCCAGAGCAAGUGGAUCUGUCUGCCUCCUCUGCUAGGGUUUGGGGGCCCUCCGGAGCCGCUCGCGCGAGCGACUCGGGAGGGGAGGGGAUGGGUGGCCGCAUAGAAUUAAACAAAACAUGCAUGCACACAAUGUUAACUCUGAAGGGAUUUCCAUGUAAAUCAAAUGAUUGUAUAAUCAAAACUUUGAUAGGGGGUCAUGUUGGUAUAAAAGUAAAUCGCCCCCCCCCCCUUUGCUUUUCAAUCUUGCUGCUCCUGAUUUGGUUAUUAUUUUAAAUAAUGCCAAAAAGCAUUGGUAUGUCAAAUGAAUGAUGAGUGAAUAUAGCGAGGGAGGAGUAAACAUGUUGUAUGCAGAUGAUAUGAUAUCCAUCUUUGCAGAUAAAUUUAAAAUUUAUCUAAUGUGCUUUUGAAUGGAUUUCAAUUUUGAAAAUAAUUUUCAUAAGAGAGACUUUCUUAUUUGGAGAUGUUAUGAAUAGAUAAGAGGAAUAUAGGAAAAUCUUUACCUAUCAAUUGUGGGAGCUACCUAUGACAUACACGUGAAUUCCACCUGAUAAGUGAGAAUAAGAAAUAAAGAUUGGAAGAAUAUUAAAAUAGGUGUGCUUGCUGGCAAGGUAUGAUGCUAAACAUUAUUGACAGACUUGUCUUUGUGCAUUCUAGUUUAAGUAGCUGGUCUUUAUCAGUUAGCAAUGGAUUAAGCGGGGGGGGGGGGGGGGGGGGUGGUCCAAGCGAGCGGAUGGAGCAAGGAGCCGAGCUAAGAGAAUGGGAGCUUCAUUGGCUGGCCCAUGUUAGGGCAUCCACAAUAUUUAGAGGCUGUAUGGCCUCUAAGCUAUCCACAUGCCUGCCUCUACACUUUGCCCAAAACUGUGUAGUAUAUGAAGUUUAGUUUGGCCUCUAAGGUGGACCCAUGGCAGGCACCAUGCACAUGAAAAAUAGGUUUUCUCAAUCAACCAAUCUAGCAUAUAUACAUCAUGCACCGGUGAGCAUGACAAGUAGGGCACAAUAUUAAUUUAGUCUGAAGAGAAAGAUGGAGGCGCCUCUUAGCUUGGAGUUAAUGCUGACCAUUUUAGAUUGGAGGAAGUCAUUUGCAGUGUAUGGCGCCGGCCGCCAAUGAAGGAAAUAUGCCCUAGAGGCAAUAAUAAAGUUAUUAUUUAUUUCCUCAUAUCAUGAUAAAUGUUUAUUAUUCAUGCUAGAAUUGUAUUAACCGGAAACAUGAUACAUGUGUGAAUACAUAGACAAACAUAUAGUCACUAGUAUGCCUCUACUUGACUAGCUCAUUAAUCAAAGAUGGUUAUGUUUCCUAACCAUAGACAUGUGUUGUCAUUUGAUUAGUGGGAUCACAUCAUUAGAAGAAUGAUGUGAUUGACAUGACCCAUUCCGUUAGCCUAGCACUUGAACGUUUAGUAUACUGCUAUUGCUUUCCUCAUGACUUAUACAUGUUCCUGUAACUAUGAGAAUUAUGCAACUCCCGUUUACCGGAGGAACACUUUGAGUACUACCAAAUGUCACAACGUAACUGGGUGAUUAUAAAGGAGUACUACAGGUGUCUCCGAAGGUACAUGUUGAGUUGGCGUAUUUUGAGAUUAGGUUUUGUCACUCCGAUUGUCGGAGAGGUAUCUCUGGGCCCUCUCAGUAAUGCACAUCACUAUAAGCCUUGCAAGCAGUGUAGCUAAUGAGUUAGUUACGGAAUGAUGUAUUACGUAACGAGUAAAGAGACUUGCCGGUAACGAGAUUGAACUAGGUAUUGGAUACCGACGAUCAAAUCUCGGGCAAGUAACAUACCGAUGACAAAGGGAACAACGUAUGUUGUUAUGCGGUUUGACCGAUAAAGAUCUUCGUAGAAUAUGUGGGAGCCAAUAUGGGCAUCCAGGUCCCGCUUUUGGUUAUUGACCGGAAACAAAGUUCUGGGUCAUGUCUACAUAGUUAUCGAACCCGUAGGGUACGCACGCUUAACGUUUCGUUGACGAUAUAGUAUUAUAUGAGUUAUGUAUGUUGGUAACCGAAUGUUGUUCGGAGUCCCGGAUGAGAUCAUGGACAUGACGAGGAACUCCAGAAUGGUCCGGAGAUAAAAGUUGAUAUAUGGGAUAAUAGUGUUUGAUCUCCGGAAGAGUUCCGGAAUUCACCGGGAGGGGUUUCGGAUGUUUCCCGAAAUGUUUGGGAACGAGAACACGUUAUUUGGGCCAAAGGGGAAAGUCCACAAGGUUUUUGGAAAGCGCAAAAGGAAGUUUUGCGGAGUCCAGGGGCCAGACGCCAGGGUCCCUGGCGUAUGGGUCCAGAUGCCGGGAACCCUGGCGUCUGGCCCUGGAGUCCGAGAAGGACUCUUGCCUUUCGGGUGAAACUGACUUUGUGGAGGCUUUUACUCCAAGUUUUGACCCCAAGGCUCAACAUAUAAAAAGAGGGGUACGGCUAGCACCAAAGACACAUCAAGAAACACCAAGCCGUGUGCCGGCAACCCCGUCCCCUCUAGUUUAUCCUCCGUCAUAGUUUCCGUAGUGCUUAGGCGAAGCCCUGCGGAGAUUGUUCUUCACCAACAUCGUCACCACGCCGUCGUGCUGCCGGAACUCAUCUACUACUUCGCCCGUCUUGCUGGAUCGAGAAGGCGAGGACGUCAUUGAGCUGAACGUGUGCAGAACUCGGAGGUGCCGUGCGUUCGGUACUUGGAUCGGUCGGAUCGUGAAGACGUACGACUACAACCGCGUUGAUAAACGCUUCCACUUAGCGAUCUUCAAGGGUAUGAAGAUACACUCCUCCUCUCGUUGCUAUGCCAUCACCAUGAUCUUGCGUGUACGUAGGAAAUUUUUUGAAAUUACUAUGUUCCCCAACAGUGGCAUCCGAGCCUAGGUUUUAUGCGUUGAUGUUAUAUGCACGAGUAGAACACAAGUGAGUUGUGGGCGAUACAAGUCAUACUGCUUACCAGCAUGUCAUACUUUGGUUCAGCGGUAUUGUGAGAUGAAGCGGCCCGGACCGACAUUACGCGUAUGCUUACGCGAGACUGGUUUCACCGUUAGAGCACUAGUGCUUAAAGGUGGCUGGCGGGUGUCUGUCUCUCUCACUUUAGCUGAAUCGAGUGUGGCUACGCCCGGUCCUUGCGAAGGUUAAAACAACACCAACUUGACGAACUAUCGUUGUGGUUUUUGAUGCGUAGGUAAGAACGGUUCUUGCUAAGCCCGUAGCAGCCAUAUAAAAUUUGCAACAACAAAGUAGAGGACGUCUAACAUGUUUUUGCAGGGCAUGUUGUGAUGUGAUAUGGUCAAGAUGUGAUGCUAUAUUUUAUUGUAUGAGAUGAUCCUGUUUUGUAACCGAAGUUAUCGGCAACUGGCAGGAGCCAUAUGGUUGUCGCUUUAUUGUAUGAAAUGCAAACGCCCUGUAAUUGCUUUACUUUAUCACUAAGCGGUAGCGAUAGUCGUAGAAGCAAUAGAUGGCGUAACGACAACGAUGCUAUGAUGGAGAUCAAGGUGUCGCGUCGGUGACGAUGGUGAUCAUGACGGUGCUUCGAAGAUGGAGAUCACAAGCACAAGAUGAUGAUGGCCAUAUCAUAUCACUUAUAUUGAUUGCAUGUGAUGUUUAUCCUUUAUGCAUCUUAUCUUGCUUUGAUUGACGGUAGCAUCUUAAGGGCGAAUUUCGUUAAACCCUGCCCNNNNNNNNNNNNNNNNNNNNNNNNNNNNNNNNNNNNNNNNNNNNNNNNNNUUGCGGGCCGCGAAUUCGCCCUUCUACUCCAUCUCACGUGAUGAUCGGACAUGGUUUAGUUGAUUUGGAUCACGUGAUCACUUAGAUGAGUAGAGAGAUGUCUGUCUAAGUGGGAGUUCUUAAGUAAUAUGAUUAAUUGAACUUAAAUUUAUCAUGAACUUAGUACCUAAUAGUAUUUUGCUUGUCUAUGUUUGUUUGUAGAUAGAUGGCUCGUGCUAUUGUUCCGUUGAAUUUUAAUGCGUUCCUUGAGAAAGCAAAGUUGAAAGAUGAUGGUAGCAAUUACACAGACUGGGUCCGUAACCUGAGGAUUAUCCUCAUUGCUGCACAGAAAAGUUACGUCCUGGAAGCACCGCUAGGUGCCAGGCCUGCUGCUGAUGCAACUGACGACGUUAAGAACGUCUGGCAGAGCAAAGCUGAUGACUACUCGAUAGUGCAGUGUGCCAUGCUUUACGGCUUAGAACCGGGUCUUCAACGACGUUUUGAACAUCAUGGAGCAUAUGAGAUGUUCAAGGAGUUGAAGUUGAUAUUUCAAGCAAAUGCCCGGAUUGAGAGAUAUGAAGUCUCUAAUAAGUUCUACAGCUGCAAGAUGGAGGAGAAUAGUUCUGUCAGUGAACACAUACUCAAAAUGUCUGGGUAUAAUAAUCACUUGAUUCAACUGGGAGUUAAUCUUCCUGAUGAUAGUGUCAUUGACAGAAUUCUCCAAUCACUGCCACCGAGCUACAAGAGCUUCGUGAUGAACUAUAAUAUGCAAGGGAUGAACAAGACUAUUUCCGAGCUCUUCGCAAUGCUAAAAGCCGCGGAGGUAGAAAUCAAAAAGGAGCAUCAAGUGUUGAUGGUUAACAAAACCACCAGUUUCAAGAAGAAGGGCAAAGGGAAGAAGAAGGGGAACUUCAAAAAGAACAGCAAGCAAGUUGCUGCUCAAGAGAAGAAACCUAAGUCUGGACCUAAGCCUGAAACUGAGUGCUUCUACUGCAAGCAGACUGGACACUGGAAGCGGAACUGCCCCAAGUAUUUGGCGGAUAAGAAGGAUGGCAAAGUGAACAAAGGUAUAUGUGAUAUACAUGUUAUUGAUGUGUACCUUACUAAUGCUCGCAGUAGCACCUGGGUAUUUGAUACUGGUUCUGUUGCUAAUAUUUGCAACUCGAAACAGAGACUACGGAUUAAGCGAAGAUUGGCUAAGGACGAGGUGACGAUGCGCGUGGGAAAUGGUUCCAAAGUCGAUGUGAUCGCGGUCGGCACGCUACCUCUACAUCUACCAUCGGGAUUAGUUUUAGACCUAAAUAAUUGUUAUUUGGUGCCAGCGUUGAGCAUGAACAUUAUAUCUGGAUCUUGUUUGAUGCGAGACGGUUAUUCAUUUAAAUCAGAGAAUAAUGGUUGUUCUGUUUAUAUGAGUAAUAUCUUUUAUGGUCAUGCACCCUUGAAGAGUGGUCUAUUUUUGUUGAAUCUCGAUAGUAGUGAUACACAUGUUCAUAGUGUUGAAACCAAAAGAUGCAGAGUUGAUAACGAUAGUGCAACUUAUUUGUGGCACUGCCGUUUAGGUCAUAUCGGUGUAAAGCGCAUGAAGAACCUCCAUACUGAUGGGCUUUUGGAAUCACUUGAUUAUGAAUCACUUGGUACUUGCGAACCGUGCCUCAUGGGCAAGAUGACUAAAACGCCGUUCUCCGGAACUAUGGAGCGAGCAACUGAUUUGUUGGAAAUCAUACAUACUGAUGUUUGUGGUCCAAUGAAUGUUGAGGCUCGCGGCGGGUACCGUUAUUUUCUCACCUUCACAGAUGAUUUGAGCAGAUAUGGGUAUAUCUACUUGAUGAAACACAAGUCUGAAACAUUUGAAAAGUUCAAAGAAUUUCAGAGUGAAGUGGAAAAUCAUCGUAACAAGAAAAUAAAAUUUCUACGAUCUGAUCAUGGAGGAGAAUAUUUGAGUUACGAGUUUGGUCUACACUUGAAACAAUGCGGAAUAGUUUCGCAACUCACGCCACCCGGAACACCACAACGAAAUGGUGUGUCCGAACGACGUAAUCGUACUUUACUAGAUAUGGUGCGAUCUAUGAUGUCUCUUGCUGAUUUACCGCUAUCAUUUUGGGGUUAUGCUUUAGAGACGGCCGCAUUCACGUUAAAUAGGGCACCAUCAAAAUCCGUUGAGACGACGCCUUAUGAACUGUGGUUUGGCAAGAAACCAAAGUUGUCGUUUCUUAAAGUUUGGGGCUGCGAUGCUUAUGUGAAGAAACUUCAACCAGAUAAGCUUGAACCCAAAUCGGAGAAAUGUGUCUUCAUAGGAUACCCAAAAGAAACUAUUGGGUACACCUUCUAUCACGGAUCUGAAGGCAAGAUUUUCGUUGCUAAAAUCGGAUCCUUUCUAGAGAAGGAGUUUCUCUCGAAAGAAGUGAGUGGGAGAAAAGUAGAACUUGAUGAGAUAACUGUAUCUACUCCCUUAUUGGAAAGUAGUUCAUCACAAGAACCGGUUCCUGUGACAACUACACCAAUCAGUGAGGAAGCUAAUGAUAUUGAUCAUGAAACUUCAGAUCAAGUUUCUGUUGAACUUCGUAGGUCUACCAGAGUAAGAUCCGCACCAGAGUGGUAUGGUAAUCCUAUUCUGGAAGUCAUGUUACUUGACCAUGAUGAACCUACGAACUAUGAGGAAGCGAUGAUGAGCCCAGAUUCCGCAAAAUGGCUAGAGGCCAUGAAAUCUGAGAUGGGAUCCAUGUAUGAAAACAAAGUAUGGACUUUGGUUGACUUGCCCGAUGAUCGGCAAGCAAUUGAGAAUAAAUGGAUCUUUAAGAAGAAGACUGACGCUGAUGGUAAUGUAACUGUCUAUAAAGCUCAACUUGUUGCGAAAGGUUUUCGACAAGUUCAAGGAGUUGACUACGAUGAGACUUUCUCACCUGUAGCGAUGCUUAAGUCUGUCCGAAUCAUGAUAGCUAUUGCUGCAUUUCAUGAUUAUGAAAUUUAGCAAAUGGAUGUCAAAACUGCAUUCUUGAAUGGAUUUCUGGAAGAAGAGUUGUAUAUGAUGCAGCCAGAAGGUUUUGUUGAUCCAAAAGGUGCUAACAAAGUGUGCAAGCUCCAGCGUUCCAUUUAUGGACUGGUGCAAGCAUCUCGGAGUUGGAAUAAACGCUUUAAUAGUGUAAUCAAAGCAUAUGGUUUUAUACAGACUUUUGGAGAAGCCUGUAUUUACAAGAAAGUGAGUGGGAGCUCUAUAGCAUUUCUGAUAUUAUAUGUAGAUGACAUAUUAUUAAUUGGAAAUGAUACAGAGUUUCUGGAUAGCAUAAAGGGAUACUUGAAUAAAAGUUUUUCAAUGAAAGACCUCGGUGAAGCUGCUUACAUAUUGGGCAUCAAGAUCUAUAGAGAUAGAUCAAGACGCUUGAUAGGACUUUCACAAAGCACAUACCUUGAUAAAAUUUUGAAAAAGUUCAAAAUGGAUCAGGCAAAGAAAGGGUUCUUGCCCGUACUACAAGGUGUGAAGUUGAGUCAAACUCAAUGCCCGACCACAGCAGAAGAUAGAGAGAAAAUGAAAGAUGUUCCCUAUGCUUCAGCCAUAGGCUCUAUCAUGUAUGCAAUGAUGUGUACCAGACCUGACGUAUGCUUAGCAAUAAGCUUGGCAGGAAGGUACCAGAGUAAUCCAGGAGUGGAUCACUGGACGGCGGUCAAGAACAUCCUGAAAUACCUGAAAAGGACUAAGGAUAUGUUUCUCGUAUAUGGAGGUGACAAAGAGCUAGUCGUAAAUGGUUACGUCGAUGCAAGCUUUGACACUGAUCCGAACGAUUCUAAAUCGCAAACCGGAUACGUGUUUUUAUUAAAUGGUGGAGCUGUAAGUUGGUGCAGUUCUAAACAAAGCGUCGUGGCGGGAUCUACAUGUGAAGCGGAGUACAUAGCUGCUUCGGAAGCAGCAAAUGAAGGAGUCUGGAUGAAGGAGUUCAUUUCCGAUCUAGGUGUCAUACCUAGUGCAUCGGGACCAAUGAAAAUCUUCUGUGACAAUACUGGUGCAAUUGCCUUGGCAAAGGAAUCCAGAUUUCACAAGAGGACCAAGCACAUCAAGAGACGCUUCAAUUCCAUUCGGGACCAAGUCCAAGUGGGAGACAUAGAGAUUUGCAAGAUACAUACGGAUCUGAAUGUUGCAGACCCGUUGACUAAGCCUCUCUCACGAGCAAAAUAUGAUCAGCACCAAGACUCCAUGGGUGUUAGAAUCAUUAAUAUGUAAUCUAGAUUAUUGACUCUAGUGCAAGUGGGAGACUGAAGGAAAUAUGCCCUAGAGGCAAUAAUAAAGUUAUUAUUUAUUUCCUCAUAUCAUGAUAAAUGUUUAUUAUUCAUGCUAGAAUUGUAUUAACCGGAAACAUGAUACAUGUGUGAAUACAUAGACAAACAUAUAGUCACUAGUAUGCCUCUACUUGACUAGCUCAUUAAUCAAAGAUGGUUAUGUUUCCUAACCAUAGACAUGUGUUGUCAUUUGAUUAGUGGGAUCACAUCAUUAGAAGAAUGAUGUGAUUGACAUGACCCAUUCCGUUAGCCUAGCACUUGAUCGUUUAGUAUACUGCUAUUGCUUUCUUCAUGACUUAUACAUGUUCCUGUAACUAUGAGAAUUAUGCAACUCCCGUUUACCGGAGGAACACUUUGGGUACUACCAAACGUCACAACGUAACUGGGUGAUUAUAAAGGAGUACUACAGGUGUCUCCGAAGGUACAUGUUGAGUUGGCGUAUUUUGAGAUUAGGUUUUGUCACUCCGAUUGUCGGAGAGGUAUCUCUGGGCCCUCUCGGUAAUGCACAUCACUAUAAGCCUUGCAAGCAGUGUAGCUAAUGAGUUAGUUACGGAAUGAUGUAUUACGUAACGAGUAAAGAGACUUGCCGGUAACGAGAUUGAACUAGGUAUUGGAUACCGACGAUCAAAUCUCGGGCAAGUAACAUACCGAUGACAAAGGGAACAAUGUAUGUUGUUAUGCGGUUUGACCGAUAAAGAUCUUCGUAGAAUAUGUGGGAGCCAAUAUGGGCAUCCAGGUCCCGCUUUUGGUUAUUGACCGGAAACAAAGUUCUGGGUCAUGUCUACAUAGUUCUCGAACCCGUAGGGUCCGCAUGCUUAACGUUUCGUUGACGAUAUAGUAUUAUAUGAGUUAUGUAUGUUGGUAACCGAAUGUUGUUCAGAGUCCCGGAUGAGAUCAUGGACAUGACGAGGAACUCCGGAAUGGUCCGGAGAUAAAGUUUGAUAUAUGGGAUAAUAGUGUUUGAUCUUUGGAAGAGUUCCGGAAUUCACCGGAAGGGGUUCCGGAUGUUUCCCGAAAUGUUUGGGAACGAGAACACGUUAUUUGGGCCAAAGGGGAAAGUCCACAAGGUUUUUGGAAAGCGCAAAAGGAAGUUUUGCGGAGUCCAGGGGCCAGACGCCAGGGUCCCUGGCGUAUGGGUCCAGAUGCCGGGAACCCUGGCGUCUGGCCCUGGAGUCCGAGAAGGACUCUUGCCUUUCGGGUGAAACCGACUUUGUGGAGGCUUUUACUCCAAGUUUCGACCCCAAGGCUCAACAUAUAAAUAGAGGGGUAGGGCUAGCACCAAAGACACAUCAAGAAACACCAAGCCGUGUGCCGGCAACCCCAUCCCCUCUAGUUUAUCCUCCGUCAUAGUUUCCGUAGUGCUUAGACGAAGCCCUGCGGAGAUUGUUCUUCACCAACAUCGUCACCACGCCGUCGUGCUGCCGGAACUCAUCUACUACUUCGCCCGUCUUGCUGGAUCGAGAAGGCGAGGACGUCAUUGAGCUGAACGUGUGCAGAACUCGGAGGUGCCGUGCGUUCGGUACUUGGAUCGGUCGGAUCGUGAAGACGUACGACUACAUCAACCGCGUUGAUAAACGCUUCCGCUUAGCGAUCUUCAAGGGUAUGAAGAUACACUCCUCCUCUCGUUGCUAUGCCAUCACCAUGAUCUUGCGUGUACGUAGGAAUUUUUUUGAAAUUACUACGUUCCCCAACAGCCAACUCAUUGGAGGUGGCCAUAGAAGCGGGAAAAGAGCACAUUGUGGAUGCUCUUAGUGUUAUAGCAGCAAUUCCAUGGUUCUAGCGUGAAAUAAGAUCUCCCAAGGGGCGCACACAACGACCACAGGAUGACACCGAUAUCAAAACAUGUAAGGGUGCCAUAACCACGCACUAAAAAACUACACUCUCUUCUCAAAUGCAGUCUCCAACAGCACCCCGAUAUGCAAAUGAAAAACACACCGCCAGUACAUAAUUAAAACUGAAGCCAACAUAGACCAGACUAAAACGAAAGAGCUGACUGCAAUAAACUGCUAGAGAAAAAAGAGUUAACCCCAUGAUGUUAAAAGGAACUCUCAUGCUACCUAACGUAUGAGAUGUUUUGCCGUUGGAGGUAUUAUACUAUUGUUAUAACAAAAAAUCAUUCAUUUUCAAAUAAUAUCAAUGGAACCAAUAUAUAUCAGCAACUUUGAUGAAAUGUGGAGACGCAUAUAUAGACAACAAUAGCUUCUUUUCUAGAAUAUGGUGCCAGCAUACAUGUGAAAUGACUAUAUUAGCAAUAAAAGCACACAUUAUUACACUAUGAAUAGGAAAAUAAUGAGUUUGUAAUGAAGAAUACGAUAGAGAAAAGUCAAAAUUCGAUAAUCUUUGCUGCGUUAUUUAAGUAUUCCAUUCAUGUCAGUUGGACUGCCAUACAGCGGUCCACACUCACACUGGAUGACCGUGGUACGUUGAAUCCGCACUAAGGGGCGGUACUCAGAGUAAGACACGCACAUUUACACUAGUAGAAAAAGAGGCUUCCGUCCAGCCUCAUUAGUCGCGAAACUGUAGGAACCGCGACUAAUGAAGUCUUCAGUCGCGGUUCGGCAGAUGAACCGCGACCAAAUGCCUGGGCCCAGGGCAAGGUGCGCAAAGGCCUUUAGUCGCGGUUGCACGGGGAUGAAGCAUUCAGGGGGCGGCCUAUUAAUUUCCCAUUAGUGUUAAUACACAUAUANNNNNNNNNNNNNNNNNNNNNNNNNNNNNNNNNNNNNNNNNNNNNNNNNNGAAAAAAAUUAAUUCUAUAAAUAUGCCAAGGCCCAGCCCCAUCCGGCACAAGAGGCAGUAAUGACAUCCUCCUCUAUUGCCGUCGAGGCUACUCUGCUCCUCUUCAUCCUCGUCGCCCAUGCCCAUGGCUGCGGUGCCAGGAACCACGCGCCUCGUCCUUCCCCGGCCACCAAAAAGCCUCCCUACAUGGCCACUCCUCCUGCGGCCAAUUCCAGCUGGCUCGACGCCAAGGCGACAUGGUACGGCGCGCGCCACGGUGCUGGGCCCGACGACAAUGGUGGCGCGUGCGGGUUCAAGAACGUCAACUUGCCGCCCUUCUCUGCCAUGACCUCCUGCAGCAAUGAGCCGCUCUCCAAGUAUUAUACCCAUCCAGCAGCCAACACUUAGCCAUUUGGAGCCAUUCUCUUCACAAGUGGGUGUAGGUUUGUUUUUGGUUCCUCUUAUGCACAUAAGGUGUUUGAUGAAAUGCCCCAAGAGCAUGAAACAAACAUGACAUGAAGUGUUGGAGCCACACUCCUCGAUCGCGGUUAGCAACUUGAUGAACCUUUGAUGUGUCAUUGAUAAAAUAUGCAUGUGUGCAGUUCAUUGUUUAAUUUAUAUUAUUUGUAGCUAGUUAGUUUAACAAAUGCAUGAUGGUUAAUUAUAUACUUUAUAUUAUAAUAAUGCAGAUGAAUCGGCAAUGGAUGUACGGUAACCGACUCUCCGGCGAGUUCACUACGGGUUUUAAAGAUUUCCUCGUAGUGGCUAAUGCGAACAAGCAGGGGGGUUUUGUUAUCUGUCCAUGUGUUAUCUGUAAGAAUCAGAAGGGUUACUCUUCCUCAAGAGAUGUUCACAUGCAUCUGCUUCGGCACGGUUUCAUGCCAAGCUAUAAUUGUUGGACCAAGCAUGGAGAAAGAGGGGUUAUAAUGGAAGAAGAUGAAGAAGGGGAUGAUUUCAUCGAUGAAAGCUAUCUUGCUCAUUUCGGUGAUACUUUCAUGGAGGAUGCUGAAGGUGAAGGGGAAGGUGAAGAAGAGGCACGUGAUGAUCCCGUUGAUGAUCUUGGUCGGACCAUUGCUGAUGCACGGAGACGCUGCGAAACUGAAAAGGAGAGGGAGAAUUUGGAUCGCAUGUUAGAGGAUCACAGAAAGGCGCUGUACCCCGGAUGCGAUGAUGGUCUGAAAAAGCUGGGCUGCACACUGGAUUUGCUGAAAUGGAAGGAAGAGGCAGGUGUAGCUGACUCGGCAUUUGAAAACUUGCUGAAAAUGUUGAAGAAUAUGUUUCCAAAGGAUAACGAGUUGCCCGCCAGUACGUACGAAGCAAAGAAGGUUGUCUGCCCUCUAGGUUUAGAGGUUCUGAAGAUACAUGCAUGCAUCAACGACUGCAUCCUCUACCGCGGUGAAUACGAGAAUUUGAAUGAAUGCCCGGUAUGCACUGCAUUGCGUUAUAAGAUCAGAGGCGAUGACCCUGGUGACGAUGUUGAGGGCCAGAAACCUAGGAAGAGGGUUCCCGCCAAGGUGAUGUGGUAUGCUCCUAUAAUACCACGGUUGAAACGUCUGUUCAGGAACAAAGAGCAUGCCAAGUUGUUGCGAUGGCACAAAGAGGACCGUAAGUCGGACGGGGAGUUGAGACACACCGCAGAUGGAACGCAAUGGAGAAAGAUCGACAGAUGGUUCAAAGAUUUUGCAGCUGACGCAAGGAACAUAAGAUUUGCUCUAAGUACGGAUGGCAUGAAUCCUUUUGGCGAGCAGAGCUCCAGCCAUAGCACCUGGCCCGUGACUCUAUGCAUCUACAACCUUCCUCCUUGGUUGUGCAUGAAGCGGAAGUUCAUUAUGAUGCCAGUGCUCAUCGAAGGUCCGAAGCAACCCGGCAACGACAUCGAUGUGUACCUAAGGCCAUUAGUUGAUGAACUUUUACAGCUGUGGGGUGGUGUCCGUGUGUGGGAUGAGCACAAACAAGAGGAAUUUGACCUACGAGCGUUGCUUUUCGUAACCAUCAACGAUUGGCCUGCUCUUAGUAACCUUUCGGGACUGUCAAAUAAGGGAUACAAUGCAUGCACGCACUGCUUACAUGAGACUGAAAGUGUACAUUUGCCAAAUUGUAAGAAGAACGUGUACCUUGGGCAUCGUCGAUUUCUUCCGAAAAUUCAUCCAGUAAGAAAGAAAGGCAAGCAUUACAACGGCAAGGCAGAUCACCGGCCGAAGCCUGCGGAACGCACUGGUGCUGAGGUAUUUGAUAUGGUCAAGGAUUUGAAAGUCAUCUUUGGAAAGGGUCCUGGCGGACAAUCAGUUCCGAAGGGAGCUGACGGGCACGCAGCCAUGUGGAAGAAGAAAUCUAUAUUCUGGGAGCUAGAAUAUUGGAAAGUCCUAGAUGUCCGCUCUGCAAUCGACGUGAUGCACGUUACGAAGAAUAUUUGCGUGAACCUCCUAAGCUUCUUGGGCGUGUAUGGGAAGACAAAUGAUACAAAGGAAGCACGGCAGGACCAGCAACGUUUGAAAGACCCUGAUGACCGGCAUCCGGAAUGGUUUCAAGGUCGUGCCAGCUACGCUCUGACCAAAGAAGAGAAGGUCAUCUUUUUUGAAUGCCUGAGCAGUAUGAAGGUCCCGUCUGGAUUCUCGUCCAAUAUAAAGGGAAUAAUAAACAUGGCGGAGAAAAAGUUCCAAAACCUGAAGUCUCACGACUGCCACGUGAUUAUGACGCAAUUGCUUCCGAUUGCUUUGAGGGGGCUCCUGCCGGAAAAUGUUCGAGUAGCCAUUGUGAAGCUAUGUGCAUUCCUCAAUGCAAUCUCUCAGAAGGUAAUCAAUCCAGAAGUUCUACCAUGGUUACAGAACGAUGUGAUCCAAUGUCUUGUCAGUUUCGAGUUGGUGUUCCCGCCAUCCUUCUUCAAUAUUAUGACGCACCUCCUGGUUCACCUAGUCGAAGAGAUUUUCGUUCUCGGUCCUGUAUUUCUACACAAUAUGUUCCCCUUCGAGAGGUUCAUGGGAGUAUUAAAGAAAUAUGUUCGUAACCGUGCUAGGCCAGAAGGAAGCAUCGCCAAGGGCUAUGGAAAUGAGGAGGUAAUUGCGUUUUGUGUUGACUUUGUUCCUGACCUUAAGCCGAUUGGUCUUCCUCGAUCGCGGCACGAGGGGAGACUAAGUGGAAAAGGCACGAUCGGAAGGAAAUCAACGAUAUGUAUGGACGGCCAUUCUCUGACUGAAGCACACCACACUGUACUGACCAAUUCCAGCUUGGUGGCUCCGUACUUUGAGAAACACAAGAAUAUUUUACGCUCGGAGAACCCGGGGAAGCCUGAAUCCUGGAUUAGGAAGGCCCACAUGGAGACUUUCGGCAGUUGGUUGAGAAAACAUUUAAUGAAUGACAAUGAUGUUGUAGAUCAGCUGUACAUGUUGGCCAAGACACCAUCUUCGACUAUAACGACUUUCCAAGGGUACGAGAUAAAUGGGAAUACAUUUUACACGAUCGCCCAAGAUAAAAAGAGCACCAACCAAAACAGUGGUGUCCGCUUUGAUGCAGCAACCGAGAAUGGGCAAAAGGUCACAUAUUAUGGUUACAUAGAGGAGAUAUGGGAACUUGACUAUGGACCCUCCUUUAAGGUCCCUUUGUUCCGGUGCAAAUGGUUCAAGCUAACAGGAGGUGGGGUAAAGGUGGACCAGCAAUACGGAAUGACAAUGGUGGAUUUCAACAAUCUUGGUUACCUUGACGAACCAUUCGUCCUAGCGAAAGAUGUCGCUCAGGUUUUCUAUGUGAAGGACAUGAGUAGCAAACCGAGGAAACGGAAAGAUAAGAAAACGAUCAGUGCAUCAUGCGAUGAUCCAAAGCGCCACAUUGUUCUUUCAGGGAAAAGAAACAUCGUGGGAGUGGAGGACAAGACAGACAUGUCAGAAGAUUAUAAUAUGUUUGCUGAAAUUCCGCCCUUCAAAGUGAACACCGACCCAAGCAUUAAGUUAAAUGAUGAGGAUGCUCCAUGGAUACGGCACAAUCGUAAGCAAGCAGGGACACAAGGGAAGAAAUGAUGUGUAAUAAUUUAUUGUAUCAAACCUUUUGUCAAACCUUCAAGGGGUUUUAAAAUGAAUUAGUUUUAUUUUUCUGAUUUUUUUGAUAUAUAAUUGUAUUUUUAAGAUUUUAAAAUGAAUUAGUUUUAUUUUUCUGAUUUUAAAAGGAAAAAGGAAGAAGCAGAAAGAAGGAAAAAGGAAGAAAAAAACAGAAGAAAAAAACAGAAGAAAAAAGGAAAAACAGAAGAAAAAAACAAACAGAAGAAAAACAUAAAAAAAAACAGAAGAAAAAAACAGAAGAAAAAAGAAAAAAGGAAAAAAGGAAAAAAAAAUGCCACCUACUGGGCCACCACGGCCUGAAUACGACUAGAAACCCAUUAAAGGGCCAGGAUUCAGGCCCGCAGAAGGCCCAGUAGGCCCACAUGCACAUAGUGACAGAAUAGGCCCGUAAGCCUGCAUUUGAGAGGAGCUCGAAGUGGUGAGCGCAGCCGCGCUUAUAAACCACUGUCGAAGCCUCUCGGCUAGCGAGGUGGGACUAAACAUCCCACCGCACCGCGCCAGUUCUAGCACAGACCUUUAGUCGCGGUUGGGGAGGCGGGAACGGAGGGUCUUUCUGCGCGGGAACGGAGGCGGCGCCAAAACCCUUUAGUCGCGGUUGGCGAGGACAGCCGGAAAAUCUUUGUGCACGUGCCCCUAAUGACCGGCGCUCGGGAGUAACAGUCAUCGCCAUUGAAUCCUUGAAUCGAUCAGAAGAACUUGACACCAAAUCUCCCCGUUGCGUAUGCACGACGAGAAAAAUAUAACCUCGCCGCUCCGAGGAGCUGGCAAGAAUCUAAGCCGGAAAUCGGUCUAAUCCGUCCCCGGGUGAACGAACUUGACCAGGAUCGGAGGCCGGAUUGUUGUUAGGNNNNNNNNNNNNNNNNNNNNNNNNNNNNNNNNNNNNNNNNNNNNNNNNNNGUAUUUGCAGUUAGUUAAAGAUAGUUUCUGUGAAGAGUGUUCCAUUUUCCUUUCUCUCGACGCCGACGCCCUGCCCCGACCGACGCCGACGCCCUGCCCCGACGCCGACGCCGACGCCGAAGCCUUGCGCGCCGCCGCCCCCGUCCCCAGUGAGCGCCGCCGCCCCCGUCCCCAGUGAGCGCCGCCGCCGCCCUGCCCUUGCCCGCCGCCCUGCCCUUGCCCGCCGCCCCCGUCCCCAGUGAGCGCCGCCGCCGCCCUGCCCUUGCCCGCCGUGCGUUGCGCCCUUGCCCGCCGCCGCCGCCCUGCCCUUGCCCGCCGCCCGUGCGCCGGCAGAAGAAGAAGAAGGAAGAAGAAAAAGGAAGAAGAAGAAGAAAGAAAAAGGAAAAAGGAAGAAGAAAAAAGAAAGAAGAAAAAAAAGGAAGAAGAAUUUUUUGUGUCUAAUAAAAAGAAAAGAAAAACGAAACAGAAAAAGAAAUGAAAAGAAAUGAAAAUAAACAAAAGAAAAAGAAAAAGAAAAUAAACAAAGGAGAACAUUUUGUAAAAAAAAGAAAAAGAAAAAGAACAAUGAACAAAAAAAGAAAAGAAAAACGAAACAGAAAAAGAAAGGAAAAGAAAUGAAAAUAAAAAAAAGAAAAAGAAAAAGAAAAUAAACAAAGGAGAACAUUUUUUAAAAAGAAAAAGAAAAAGAACAAUAAACAAAAAAAGAAAAGAAAAACGAAACAGAAAAAGAAAGGAAAAGAAAUGAAAAUAAAAAAAAGAAAAAGAAAAAGAAAAUAAACAAAGGAGAACAUUUUUUAAAAAGAAAAAGAAAAAGAAAAAGAACAAUAAACAAAAAAAGAAAAGAAAAACGAAACAGAAAAAGAAAGGAAAAGAAAUGAAAAUAAAAAAAUGGUUGGGAACCCUCGUAGGUGCGUUCGCUCGACAGUUUCGGCGUCGGCUACAACGGGCCGGUGCAUUAGCAGCAGUACAACGGGCGAGGGUUAUAAAUGUGUUGUCCUCGCCUCCCCUCUCCGUGACGCCGUCGUCUGCCGCCCCGUCUCGCGCUCUACCGCGACACCCUCUCCCACCCCUUCCUCGCCCCCGGCUUUUGCCACCGCCCUUUCGCCACCGCCACCGCCACCGCCCCCCUUCUUCACUUAAUUAAUUUGUUUUUACUACAUGUUUUCAGGACUGACAUAAUGGCGGACGAUAGAGCUGACCCGAUUAUGGACAACUAUGAUCCGGACGGUGAAGCACAUAUGUUCGGCAUCAUAAACGGCGAUAUUCAAUAUGUGCCGACCGGAGAAGAAGAAGAUGAUAUCUCUUCUUAUCUGAACCUUGACGGUGAAGAUGAAGGGCGCCGUCAGCAAGAUGAUGCCGAACAAACGUCGAUAAACGACGAUCUUCAAAUGGAAGUAGCAACCACCUCCGGCGCCGAGGUAUAUAUAUACAUUGAGCCUCUGGUGAUACAAACUAACUGAUUUGAAUAAAUAUGUGUGUACUAACGCGCGCGACUCUUUCUUAUUUUAGCCCUCGGCCGGAUCGUCGAAACAAUCGAGUACGUCGUCAAAGCGUGGCGCAACCAAGACGAUGAAACAAGGAGAAACAUGCACCAUCGAGGUUGUCGACAGUGCAACCGGCAGGCCGCUGGAGCCCCGCAAGAACGCCACCAAGUUUGUCAGCCAAUGCGGAGCCAUUGUUAGAGACAACGUCUCGAUCACCGUCCAGGAGUGGAAUGAGCCAAAGAAGGCACGAAUUGAUGGUUUCACUUUUGUCGAUAAGAGAACAAAAAAAGAUUGCUUCAAGAAGCUUAUGGAACAUUUCGUUCUACCUCCGGAAUACAACAAAUUCGAUGAGGAGGGUAACAAGAUUGAGGAAAACAAGGAGAGGAGGAGGCUAGUCAAACAGUUCGCUCUUCAUAAGAUGGCCGACGCAUUCCGGAAAUUCAAGCAAAAUCUAGCCCACGACUUUGUCAAGCAGAACAAGACUCCGGAUUUCAAAGGACAAUAUGAGAAACUGAAAGAUGAUUGGCCAGAAUUUGUGAAGCAAAAGAAAUCGGAGCAGUUCAUUCAAAUAUCGAAAAAAAUAAGGAAAAUGCGGCUAAGAAGGAGUACAAUCAUGUUAUGGGGCCAGGAGGGUAUCGCCUUUGGGAGCCUAGGUGGGAGAAGAUGGAGAACGAGCUGAGGGCGCGAGGAAUCCGUCCAGGUACGGAGGGAUGGGACCCAAGGGCCAAAAGCUGGUGGUACGGGCAUGGGGGAACGCUGAACCCGGAGACAGGGGAGUGUGUUUACCGGGGCAAAUUAAUUAAACCCACCCAAGCCCUUAUUAACGCAAUGAGGGAUGCUCAACAGGGGAAGAUCAAGUUCAACAGAGAGAACGACGCGCUGACAAAAGCCCUCGGGAAUCCUGAACACGGAGGACGUGUACGAGGCAUGGGGCACAUUCCGUGGAAAAUAGGGUUCCCCCAGAACGAUGACCCGUACGGUUACAGAAGCCGUAAGAGAAAGAUGGAUCAGGAAGCAGAUGUUGUGGCGCGGUUGGCAUCGGAAAUGGAGGUGAUGAAGAAAACCAUGAGUGUACUAGUAGCCGAAAGAGAUGCAGCUCGGGUGCAGCAUGAAGAUCAUCCAGCGGAUCUCGGAAGCCAGCAGCGGAGAAGCAGCGUGGCUUCCACGGAGGCCCCACCGGAGCCUCUGGUGGUCCAAAUUACUGCACCGGAGCCUCUGGUGGUCGAAAUUACUUCAUCGGAGCCUCCUCGCUACCCCGUGGACGAUAUAAAGGAGAUGAAAGAAUGUCAUCUGUAUUAUCCUAUCGGGAACAUGUCCAUGAAGGUAGCCAUCGGCAGUGCUUUACCAUGUUUACCUGGAGCACUCCACCACAACAACCCCAUUCAAGAUGGCUAUGCUCGUGUCACGGUGGAGGACAUAGUCCAAGGGUUUGAGGACCUGGAGAUUGACAUUGCUACACCUGAAGGGGAGAAAAGACUUGGAGAUGUCAAGCGCCAUUUCAUUCUAUGGCAAAAGAAGUUUAUCAAGUUUCCAGGCGAGGCGCCAAGGACAACAAGUCCACCCCCCUACGGUGGUGGUGGUGGCGGUGGCGGUGGUGGUGGUGGUGGUGGUGGUGUGCCUUGCGCAAGACUAAACUCAGGUGUCUCGCAGUAGGAGAAUAANNNNNNNNNNNNNNNNNNNNNNNNNNNNNNNNNNNNNNNNNNNNNNNNNNAAUCGCGCCUAUUGCGGCGCGUAUUCGCCCUUCCCUCCGGCAAGAAGCAGAAGCAGUCCUGGAUUAUUAACCCGGACCCUUAUGUACCUAAGACCACAAAGGUACCGGAGCCAUCACUGAAGCCUCUCCCCACAAGGCCUUGGGAACGUAGUGCCGAGGAAGUCGACGCGGCCGCGGCUGCUGAUUUGGAGAAAUGGAAGGCGGACUGCAAGAAGAAAACAGAGCCCGAGCCCAAGCCAGUAUUUUCUGAUGAGCAAAAGAAGUGGGCUAAGUCAUUUUUGAGCACACCGUCCCAAGCCGCGAAGAAUCUGCCUAACGACUAUGCACGUGAACUUCGCAGGCAGGCACUCAUGUUCAAGGAGAACAAAGAGCGGGAGAAGGCCGAAAGUAAAAAAAGCGGGAAACAAGUUGCCCAGCUCGGGGAACAAACUAAACAAUCGAUUGCCCCGCUUAUAGUGGAAGCCUUCUGUCCGGAUGACCCCGAGAUCAUACAAGCUGCGGCAGCACAGGGAUUGACUGUAACGAGUGCCAGAGAACAAGCGGCCAACUUAGGUAUUACUCUUCGUGAACUGUUAGGCCUUGAUGAGGCGCCAGUGAAGGAGGUAGUAAUUACAUAUGUCAAGAAUGGGCCUCUCGUCGAGCCUGCGGAGGAAAAGGAUCUACCUCCACAAAUGAAAGGUCUGCUGAAAUGGUACAAGGGUUACAUAAAAAAUAAAAACGCCAAAGAAUAUAUUUAUGCGGAAGUUAGACAUGAGCAUCACUUCAAACAUUACUAUGUACAAAUUGAACUGAGUGAAUUGUUCCAGCUUUUCAAUCUGCGCGAGCUCGAUAAAUCUAUCAUCAGUUGCUACGUUCUGUAAGUGAUUUAUUAAUUUCUACCCCAUCUCGUUCAUAUUGCCUGCACUAUAUAUAUGUCCUAACUAUAUUGUUGUGUCCGCUAUUAUACAUGCAGAAUGAAGAUUAAGGAAUGCAGAGUAAGGAACAUCCAUGAUGUUGGGUUCAUUGACCCACACAUCGUUAAUGGACAUGUGUUGGAGCGUUACCCCGCCGACGUGGAGGCAGACCUGUGGCAGUUUCUUACAAAGCAGGAACUCAAAAGUGAUAUUCUAUUUCCUUACCAUUUUGAGUGAGUGUUUCUGUCUUGAGCACAUUCUCUUUUGUUUACUCCAUGCAUGGUAUGUGGCCGGCUAAUCGAUGAGUUAUGCAUGACGUACUGUGCAUGUAUCGUGUCCGCAGGUUCCACUGGAUUCUGCUAGUAAUUAAAGUUAACACCUCAGAAUGUCUCGUCCACGACUCUGUGAAUAUGGAUCCAAAGCUUUGGGGCGGCAUGAGAAGAAUGCUGCAGAAGUAAUUAUUUUCAUUCAUUUGCGCUCUAUAUCGAUCGGCCUAUUUCGUUCAUUUCCUAAUAUCAAGUAACUAAUUAAUAACUCUCUUGUUCAUUUAAUUUUCUUUGCCUCGUAGGGUUUGGAGACGGUUCGUAGAUACAAAGGUCGGUGAAUUCAAAAAAGAGCUAGAAUUCAAAAUGUUAAAGGCUAAGAAUGCUGGGGAUAUUCAGCCACCGGAGACCAAUCUAUGUGGAUACUAUGUCUGUGAGAUGAUCCGGAGAUACACCUCUGAGCGGGUUCCGAGUGAUACCAAUGCUAAGAGGAAUAACCUCCGGUGGAUGCUUAGUCCAGAAGCUCGCUUCCGACCACUUCAAGAGGAACUAGCUGGAUGGUUCAGCAGGGAAGUCCUCCAUCCUAAAGGAGAACACUAUUACGAGGACGUAGAACUUUAUAUGCAUUAAAUCAUGUAUGGAAACUUGUUCAAAAUUGUAUAUGGUCAUCCGAUGAUAUUGAAUAUAUAUUGUAUAUUCCUCUUGAAUUCUUUUUGGUUCUAAUUUCAAAUUUAUUUGAAAUUGUACAUUCAUAUGCAUGUAUGUAGUACCGUAGAAUAUAUGAAACUCCUUCAAAAUUAAAAUAAAGCACAAAAGAAAUAAAACAAUACAAAUUAAACAGAAAACAGGUUUAAGGGGGGGAGGUUUAGGGGGGGGGGGGGGCUAAAACCCUAAACCUGCGGCGGCCUUUAGUCGCGGUUGGCCAGAAGAACCGCGACUAAAGGUCCUCCGCCCCGACGGCCACCUGGCGCCCACGUGGACGGGCCUUUAGUCGCGGUUCUUAAGCAACCGCGACUAAAGGGGGGGGCCUUUAGUCGCGCCCGGUCGGUCGCGGUUGCGCAACCGCGACUAAUGGCAGUUGCGAACCGCGACCAAAGGCCUUUUUUCCACCAGUGUUACUUAGUGCAUGCCGUUUGGUAAAAAUGCACAAGUGCAAUAUACAUCACUAAAUAGUGAUGGACCUAAAGACUUCCCUUAGAGAAGGUACAACCUGGACAAAUCCCACUCAGGCUACGUCUCAGAAAAGAAUGAAUUGAUUAUUACUCCCUCCGCCCCAUAGUAUAAUAUAAGUGCGUUUUUGACAUUGAAACUCUGCCGGAGGAUUGAAGAAGUUGUUCUUUGCUGAGAGUCACACAUGCAGACGCAGUUUGCACGCGGACAUUAAUUAUUACUCCACUUGUUUCCUCUCACGCGUUUUUUCUUGAAGAAACUAGCAUUAGUGAAACGACACGUCUCAUUGACGCGCAGUCGUCCUUGCUUCCCCGUAAGUGGACCGGAUGCAUGUGCGUUUUUGCAUGCGGAAGUGACGGUCACUUACAAACUAAGGUUACCAACAAGCUAUAUAUGUAUAUAUACAGACACAUGCAAGCAUGAAGCAUCCGUCCACAAUUAAAACAGAGAGAUCCACCAACUAUGUUGAAGCCGGUGACAUCAUCUUCCUCGUCCGCACGAUGCGGGGCGAUCGUCGCAGCUGCACUAAUCCUGUGUGCCUUGCAGGUCGAGCUUGUCCAGGGAGGUAACCAGCCAUGCAUAGACGGAUGACAGUGAAUAUCCAUGACUUCACAACUUUCUGAUGUGGUUGAUAUAGACUACAGUACGUAUCACGUACGUGCGAACCGAUGGAUAUCUCUUUAUGUGUUUGCAGGUGGAAGGCCGUUCCGGGAACCUCCGGCUCCUUUUUCAAACUGGAGUAGACAUGCCUGCUAUAGGAAUAAGCCCCCUUGCGACCGCCGCUUCCUCCGCUUCCUGCCACCGCCGCUUCCUCCAACCCCUCCAGUAGAUAUACCUCCUGUAGAUGGAAGAACGUUGGGGGCGCCUUGGCCUCCCACAGCUCACUAGGGUCACAACCACCGCUGUCCCUUGGGGCAGGUACCCCUUGUGCGACCCCAACCCAUCGCCGUCGUCGCCGCUUCCUCCUACUCCAGCAGUUGCAAGAGACGCAGCUCCUGCUGGAAGCCAUAGAUAGUGCCAGUUCCGUGGCUUAUGCAAAAGUUGUAGUGACAAUAAGCCUUGACAAGUGUGGUUAAAAUUAGCCAAUAAGAACAAGCCAUCCAGUUCUUUUCAGCUUAUCGUCUUUAGCUUAUAAUCUGAUAUACCCGAAAAAGCCUGUAAUAUCCCUAUACUGUAAAUCUGUUAUUUUUAAAUGAUAUUUUAGUAUUUCGUAGUGUUUUGCCACACGGAUAACUUAAAAUACGUAGAUAAUAGAAUAUCGUCUCGUACCGCACCUCAUGUUCUAUAUUCUGGAGGUUUGGUACAUACGUCUUCUUAAGUACACGUCCAUCAAUUCCAAAUUCGGAAAUCUAGUUCGAUACAUCCAAAUUUGACACUAUUGUACAAUUCAAAUUCAAAAUAUUCAAAUAAAAUCGAAUGGUAGUACUUUUUCUCAGGAAGCAGCGGCGGAAGAGCCGGCAACUGGCUAAUUUCCGUAAUUCUCGGCCGGAAAAAAAUCUUUGCUCCACUGUAUGUUUUCCUUCAUCAGUUUAUUUAGACUACAACUUGAUUUGAAACUAUUGAGAGAGAGAGAGAGAAGGGGAGAGAGAGAGAGGAGUAAGUGCAUUGUUUAUGACUCAUUAUUUUUUCUGGAGGGGUUUACAAUUUAGUAGCUCCCAUAAAAAUAUAUUUACAUCAUGGGUCCUAUCUAUUGAGAUUUUCAGAUUUCUUGAAAAUACAAAAAAAGAUGGCUCCGAGUUGAAAGUAGUGUGAAUCGAAUCUCAAAACGUCAUGGUGGCAGUGAAUAUGUACACAUACAUUUUCAUUUUAAAAGAAAAAAUAUAACCAAUAAGUCAAAAUAAAAAGUAUUUCUUAUAUUUUUUAAAUAAUUAUAAUGACAGAUUUUGCCGAAUAGUUAUUAAAAGUUAUUUUGUUAAUGGGUCAUUUAUAUUGACAUGACCAUUUGGUCAAAAGUCAUGAGUGCAUUGUACUAUUAUAUAUGAGGAAACCAGCACUGGGAAAAAGUGAAAAUAUAAAGACACUUCUGGAGAAAUUUAAGCAGGUAACCACUUGGAAAAAGCAUGCCUCUGACCUGAUUGUUGACGAAGAGUGUAUAUUAAGAAACACGAGUGGCCAAGAACAGAUCACACCAAAAUCUUGUGCGUCGUCCCAACAUUUCCACGUAAAAACUAAGAAGCGGGAAAGAGGAUGUCUGAAAAGCGCUGCGACAUGAUCAUGGAGCGUCCUUCUUCCUACAACGCGAGUAGUGCUGCUCUCCUGCUGGCUAUCCUUCUAUGCUGUGCCUUAGUGUGCUCGGCCGCGGCACCCCUGGUAAAGUACUGACUGUAUCCUUCUCCUUCUACCCUCGAAUAUAUAGAAAUCAGUAAUUAUCUCAAAGUUUGACCAAGUUUGUGCAAAAAUAUAUUAGUAUUUGUGAUACCAAAUAGGAGUAUGAUGAAAAUAUAUGUUAUCAUAAAUCAAAUGCUACUAAUUUGAUGGCAUAAAUGUUGGUGUACUAUUGUAUAAAUACAGUCAAACAUAAAAAAAAGUUUAACUUUCCAACAAAGUUGGAAGUACACUCUUGAAAGAACAGAGGGGGUAUGUUCGUACUUACGCCGAGCUUGAUUUUUACGUGGAUCUUGUUGUCCUGGACGGACUGUGUUGCUGCGCUCACCACUUGUGCAUGAGGAUUAAACCAACUCACAAAACCUGAAGCUGCAACCGACAAUGUGCGAUCCAGCCCCUUGUUGUUGUUGUUGUUGUUGUUUGUUGAUGAUGUUGUUGUUGUUGUUGUUGUGAGCGCUCAACAUGUUUAGCAUGCAAUUAAUAUCAUACCAAAUAUCAACAUCUGUGCUAAUCACAUAAUUAACAUGUAUUUUUAGGAACAAUUAACGUGUUAUUGUAUGUAAAGUGAUUUUUACAAUAGAUAUAGUAAGGAUAUUUCGAAAUCCAACCGGAAGUUAGAAAAACACAAAUACAAAAUUACUUGGACGUAUGAUCACUACCUGGUCAAUGUUGGCAGCAAUUUAUUGUUUGGUGUAACUUUUAUAUUUAUUUCUUCAUAUGAAAAUAUUGUGCUUCAAUUUUUCAAAAGGUCAUCACGGGUUUAAAUAUGUUUUCCAGUGCAAAAAAUGUGCUCAUACAACUUCUAUAAAAAAAUUAAUACAAUUAAAACAUGUUCAUGAUUUUUUUAAAUGUUCAGACCAUGUAAAAAAUUGAUGGUAUUCAGACCAAAAGUUUUUGCAUCAUUCAUAUCUACGUUUGUGACAUUUAAGAAAAAUGUCAAUUUUUAGCAUUUUUUAUACAAUGUAAAAACAACUAUUCGCAUAAUUUAGGAAAAAAAUGUCCGUACCAUACGAAAUAUUUUGCGUGACAUUUUAAAAAAUGUUCAUGGCUUCCAAGAUAUGUCUGCAUCAUUUGAAAAAUAAAUAUUUAUGGGUUAGUGGAAAAUAAUCGACGUGUAUCAAAAAAAAUGUUCCAUGUUUAUAUGGAAAAAGGAAAACAUGUACCAGAAAAAGUAGACAUGCAUAGAAAAAUAUAAAAAUAAAAUAGAAAAGAAUAAAGAGAAAACUAAAAAAUAAAACCAACAAAAAUUUAAAAGCAAAAAAGGAAGAGAAAAACACAAAUGAAAGACAUGGAAGAAAAAAAAACAC
Molecule: long non-coding RNA, 40002 nt
Filed under: Triticum aestivum (bread wheat)
Lineage: Eukaryota; Viridiplantae; Streptophyta; Magnoliopsida; Poales; Poaceae
Description: long non-coding RNA (TAES_LNC026602)
Source: RNAcentral